Molecule: long non-coding RNA, 278 nt
Filed under: Daucus carota (carrot)
Lineage: Eukaryota; Viridiplantae; Streptophyta; Magnoliopsida; Apiales; Apiaceae
Description: long non-coding RNA (DCAR_LNC006664)
Source: RNAcentral
UUUCAUCUUCUUUUGAUUAUAUUGUUAUGAUCCAAAAUAAAUGCUUGUUAUGUGUUUUUGCUUGUUCUUUUUGUUUUGUAUAUCUUAUGAAUUACGAUAACAUAUCUACAUCAUAGAAAUCAUUUUAUGCUUUUCCUCUUCUAAUUUUAAGGUUGUAUAGAAUUUUGAGUUGAUUGAAAUCAUGGAUUCGUAUCUGUUUUAGAAUUUUGUUUGAUUAGUUUUGUAGAUCAAGUCGAGUUAUGUAUCCAUUUUUUCCCCGUUUUUCUGACAUGUUUUAU